AUCGCUUCUCGGCCUUUUGGCUAAGAUCAAGUGUGUAGUAUUUAUCAGUUUAAUAUCUGAUACGUCCUCUAUCCGAGGACAAUAUAUUAAAUGGAUUUUGGAGGGAGAUGGAAUAUAGAGCUGCUCCGUCCACUCCACGCAUCGACCUGGCAGUACCAGGAACGGUGCACCUCCG
This 175-nucleotide small nuclear RNA is filed under the name Macaca fascicularis (crab-eating macaque). RNAcentral describes it as "U2 spliceosomal RNA (ENSMFAG00000053086.1)". It matches the Rfam family "U2 spliceosomal RNA". From Rfam's summary of the family: U2 is a small nuclear RNA (snRNA) component of the spliceosome (involved in pre-mRNA splicing). The record is from Rfam by way of RNAcentral. Lineage: Eukaryota; Metazoa; Chordata; Mammalia; Primates; Cercopithecidae.